UGUUGGAAAAAGUGUUAAACUCUAUUAACGUAAAAUUCUGUGUGCAGAUUUAUAUUAUGAGGUUUGAACUAUACUAAUAUUGUAGAAUUACAUAAUCAACAUCUGAACAUACUUACGUUAAACAUUAAUUGAGCCACUGAGUAAUAGAUAAGAUAUACACUAGGUACGGGAGACGGUGCGACGGGUGUGGUCGAUGUAAGACGGGAGUGGUGUUCUAACCAAGUGCUGAGAAAUAAGGUUUUUAUGCAUUACAGGUGAACUACAGGUGAAGUCACUCAAUCCAGUCCCAGAGGCUUGUUGGGGGGACCAUACCAAGGUCUCCUGGUGACAGCCAGCUGAAAGAGCUACCCGGAUUCAUAUCGCACGGCGGGAGGAAGUGAAGGUGUGUCUGGCUCUUGCUAAGUGAUGUGUUCUCAGGGAGAGGGUGGGGCUUCACAUGGAAGCUGUUCGUCUGAGCUGUCUUAUCGUGGGUGCCAUAUUCCUGAUACAGCACGUCCUACCUGAGUAUGCGGAGAGUGGUAAUUUGACCCAUGGUUUAGACGAUGAGGAUAUUGUUCCAAAACAAGCAUAAGAGAUCCCUAGAUCUGGGUAGACAGGAAGUUAGAGUAGAGGUUGGGAAGGAUCUCUCAAUGGAGUUUUAUGUAGACUAAAUGGGGUCUCUAACUACAUGGCAGUCUAGAACUCUGAGCCAUUAUGGCAUAUAUCGGUGCAGGUUCCCAUAUUGAUCGUGGACACAGGUAAUAGCUCGUUUGGAGAGAAAGGGAUAUAUGAAUCCACUCA
This is a long non-coding RNA of Oncorhynchus tshawytscha (Chinook salmon), 780 nucleotides long. The record is from Ensembl. Lineage: Eukaryota; Metazoa; Chordata; Actinopteri; Salmoniformes; Salmonidae.